RNAcentral lists this ribosomal RNA (335 nucleotides) under uncultured soil bacterium. RNAcentral describes it as "bacterial SSU rRNA". It matches the Rfam family "Bacterial small subunit ribosomal RNA", at positions 26 to 361 of the family's 1533-position model. The record is from RNAcentral.
AGAUUGAACGCUGGCGGCAGGCCUAACACAUGCAAGUCGAGCGGUAGAGAGGUGCUUGCACCUCUUGAGAGCGGCGGACGGGUGAGUAAAGCCUAGGAAUCUGCCUGGUAGUGGGGGAUAACGCUCGGAAACGGACGCUAAUACCGCAUACGUCCUACGGGAGAAAGCAGGGGACCUUCGGGCCUUGCGCUAUCAGAUGAGCCUAGGUCGGAUUAGCUAGUUGGUGAGGUAAUGGCUCACCAAGGCGACGAUCCGUAACUGGUCUGAGAGGAUGAUCAGUCACACUGGAACUGAGACACGGGUCCAGACUCCGUACGGGAGCAGCAGGUGGGGAA